This 244-nucleotide long non-coding RNA is filed under the name Elaeis guineensis (African oil palm). RNAcentral's name for it is "long non-coding RNA (EGUI_LNC062913)". The record is from RNAcentral. Lineage: Eukaryota; Viridiplantae; Streptophyta; Magnoliopsida; Arecales; Arecaceae.
GUGCCCUAUAAGUCAAUCGUAAGUAUGUUGCGAUGGAACUUUUUUUAAUAAUUUUUCAACUCAUAUAAUGAUAUUUAUUAUUUGAGGUAUUAAUUCAUCAUAUUAGCUGCAUCUUAUUAUGUCUAAGAUUAUGAUGAACCCCAAAGAGUAGGGCAAUGAUUUUAAGAAACAUGAAUGGGUCAUGCUAGUGAGACAAAAAACCCUAAAAUCCUAAUCUUAAAUAUUCCUAGUUGUAGGAGCAUUG